GCUUCAGCGUGCUACUCUUGAGAGCAAAUCCCAAGUGGGCUCAAUUUUUCAAGUUCUUAACACAAAAGAACCUCCUUCCAGACAAACAAAUUUACUUAGGCCUUCCAUGACAUUGUUAUGCAUAUGGGAGUUACAUGCUCAGAUCUGUAUGGUGACCUUUGGUCCAAGAUUGCUGCAUCCGAUAGCAUCUUCCUUGAGGGAACCUUUGGUCCAAGAUUGCUGCAUCCGAUAGCAUCUUUGUAGUUGCUAGGACAGUUGUAUGAUGCGGUGGCUGUGUAACUCGGCCUCGGCUACAACAUCUCCGGCGAGCUCCUGGUUCACACUUUGAUCAAAGGCUCAUUCAUGUUCCAGGAUCACAGGGGGCCAGAUGACGGAGUAGCAGCUGGGACCUGCAGCCUGAUGUGCCUUGGAUGGAAGGUG
Lolium rigidum is the source of this 420-nucleotide long non-coding RNA. RefSeq lists it as uncharacterized. NCBI's taxonomy places the organism in Eukaryota, Viridiplantae, Streptophyta, Magnoliopsida, Poales, Poaceae. The record is from RefSeq and is a predicted model, not a curated record. The transcript is spliced from 3 exons.